UUAGAUUAAUACUCUGUGGAGUCACUGCAGGAUUGGACAAUGGUGUUCUUCAAGGGGCAACAGUAAGACCAGCAGCUCCUGCACUGCCAUGCAUUCCAAGUAAAGACCAUUAUUGUGGCACCUUGUGGUUGAAGAGAACUGACAUUUAUUGAAUGACCAAGGAUUUAAUACUCACUUAAAUCCUCUGAUAACUGGACAAAAAUGCAAAGCAGGCUUUAUGCCCAGUCUGGAGCUCAAUGCUGGAUUUGAACUUAGACACUGAGAUCAAGACCUGAGCUGAGCUCAAGCAGGACACCCAACCAACCGAGCCACCCAGGAUCGUGGUGCGGUCUUUACUCCAGAUUCCAUAACUAAGCAGAAGCACCUGGAAGGCCUCAGGCUUUAGCAGAGAAGAGACAAGUAGCUAUAAACAACAAUACCACUUGGUGA
Molecule: long non-coding RNA, 429 nt
Organism: Canis lupus familiaris (dog)
Lineage: Eukaryota; Metazoa; Chordata; Mammalia; Carnivora; Canidae
Exons: 3
Source: RefSeq, a predicted model, not a curated record